GGAAACCCUGAUCCAGCAAUGCCGCGUGUGCGAACAAGGCCUUCGGGUUGUAAAGCACUUUUGUUUGGAAAGAAAUCGUUUUUGCUAAUACCAAAGACGGAUGACGGUACCAAUCGAAUAAGCACCGGCUAACUACGUGCCAGCAGCCGCGGUAAUUAAA
RNAcentral lists this ribosomal RNA (160 nucleotides) under uncultured bacterium. RNAcentral's name for it is "partial 16S ribosomal RNA". It matches the Rfam family "Bacterial small subunit ribosomal RNA", at positions 376 to 528 of the family's 1533-position model. The record is from RNAcentral.